CCUUAGGGCAGAUUUUCCGAAGCCUCAAAGGACGAUUUUGAAAUUAUUCGAAACCUUAUGGCAGGCCAGUGUAUUUAACUCAACCUUUUGAUUUCAAACGUCGACCAGCCUAGCUAGUGGUAGUACAAAUAGCAGUUAUCUGUUCAAUGGUAAUCACAACUCCCCUGUCUUGUAUUCUCCAAAGCCUUUUUGUUAUCCUAAUAGCAUGUCCUUUGUUCUACAAGAGAAUAUGGCUGAGCAUGCCGUCAUCGCCUCUGCUGAGGCAAUCCUGAAGGGCUUGAUAACCCCUGUAAACCAGCAGAUCAGCCUAGCAUGGGGUUUCGAGAAAAACCUUGUAAAGCUCCGCGACAGGUUUACUAUGAUCCAAGCUCUGUUAUGUGAAGCUGAGAAAGGGAGACCAACAUCAAAACCCUUGAAAGUGUGGCUAAAGCGCCUCGAUGGUGUAACCAGUGACGCCGAGAACCUGCUGGACAAGUUGAAGUACGAAGACAUUCGAAGGAAGGUUGAGGUACAAAACCGAUUGGAAAACAUGGUACGCGACUUCUUCUCCCUCAAAAAUCAAGUCGCAUUUCGUUUCCUGAUGGCUAAUAGGGUCAAUGAUAUCAACUUGUUAUUAGAUGACAUUAUCAAAGACAUUGGCUUUACUACGGCAAAUAACCUCGUAGGUACUAGUGGCGUUGAACCUCGGGAAUUCAGGCUGACUGUACCCUAUAUAGAUGAGACAGUAGUUGUGGGGAGGGAAGAUGAUGUCUCUAAAGUACUUAAGAUGUUGCGCAACUCUGACGUGGAAGACGUCAUUGCCAUUGUAGGAAUGGCCGGGCUAGGGAAAACUACCCUUGCUAAGCUAGUUUACAAAGAUAAGGAGGUUGUGAGUAAUUUCGAUGGUGGGAGAAUGUGGAUUUGUGUGUCAGAUAAUUUCAAAGUUGAAAGGCUGUUGAACGAGAUGGUUGAAUCUCUUACUAUAACAAAAUCUGACUUACAAAAUGUUGAAGCAAUAGUGCAAAAGCUUGCAGAAAAAUUAAAACGCAAAAAGUAUUUGCUUGUGUUAGAUGAUAUUUGGAAUAGAAGUGAAAGCGAAUGGCAACGCAUGAGAGAUUCUUUGCUAGGAAUCGGUGGCUCUAAGGGAAGCAAAAUUAUAGUCACAACCCGCCAUACGGAUGUGGUAACAACCAUGCAGAAGAUAUUUCCCUGUCUCACUCAUCAUUUGCUCGGACUAUCGCCUAAGGCUAGUUUGACCAUGUUUAAGAAAAAAGUAUUUGCAAAUGGAGGACCAAUAGAAACUCAAUCUUUGUUGAAUAUUGGUGAAAGAAUGGUAGAGAAGUGUAAGGGUGUGCCCUUAGCAAUAAAUGCAUUAGGAGGCGUAUUGGGGACUAGGAAGUAUGAAAGUGAUUGGCUUAACGUUGAGAAGAGUGGAACGUGGAUUUCCCUUGGAGAUAGCAAUGACAUCCUACCAGUAUUAAGGCUUAGUUUCGAUGACUUACCAUCACCUUCUUUAAAGCAUUGUUUUGCUUAUUGUUCUGUUUUUCCAAAGGACAAAAUCAUAAUAAAGAGUGAGUUGAUUCAGCUGUGGAUGGCUCUAGGUUAUCUUCAGCCUCCUUUAGGAACAAAUCGGGAAGCGGAAGAUGUAGGUGAUGAAUAUUUUAACGUCUUGGUGCACAGGUCAUUGUUCCAAGAAGUUGAAUUGGAUGAUUAUGGUAAUAUUACAUGUUGCAAGAUGCAUGAUCUUGUGCAUGAUCUUGCUCUGACUGUCUCGGAGGGUAAUUGUUUGACUUUGGAGGCUAGAGAGGAGAAGGACUAUCUUGACGUUAAACAUCUGUGGUUGUCUCGUGGAGAAGAAACAAGGUUACAAAUUUCAAAAGAAAAUGUUGGAAAACUAAGGACGCUGUUUUCAAUCGGGUAUCUCCCCAUAAACACCGAAGAUGUCAAAUGUAUACGGGUCUUGAGUAUACUAAAAUCUGGUGUGGAAGAAUUUCCGAUUUCGAUAGCGAAGUUCAUACAUUUAAAAUAUCUUGACCUCUCCGAGUCUUCUUUUGAGAAAGUGCCAGAUUUUAUUACUAAGCUCUAUAAUUUGGAAACACUCAGAUUGCCAAAAGUCACAGAAUUUCCGAAAAAAUUUCACCAGCUGGUUAGCAUGCGACAUCUUUGUAUGGAUGAUAGCAAAUCUAGUAAAGGGAUUCCAGCAUUGAUAGGGGAUUUGACUUCUUUGCAGACUUUAACUUUCUUUGUUGUGGGUGAUGGUAAGGGCCAUAAAAUUGAGGAGUUGGGACGUUUGAGCAAGCUAAGAGGCAAGUUACAGAUUUACAAUCUCCAAGAAGUUAGAGAGAGAGAAGAAGCAGAAAAAGCAAAUAUGCAAGGAAAAGCAAACAUCCAAGAGUUGGUGUACCACUGGGCCCAUGGGGACAUUACGGAAUCAUGUGUCGAGCAUGAAGAAGGGUUGGAAGGACUUCAACCCCACAGGAACCUUAGGGGAUUAAUUCUUAGGGGUUUUGGAGGACUAAGGUUUGCAUCAUGGAUGCGAACAAGAGAUGCUCAGUCACUUCAGAAUUUGGUAAGAAUCGAAUUGAAGGACUGCGGACUUUGUGAGCAAAUUCCAACGCUCGGACACCUUCCACUUCUUGAAGUUGUUGAAAUGGAUGGCUUGCAUAAUCUGAAUUGUAUUGGUAGUGAAUUCUAUGGAUUGGAUGUUGGCAUUAGUAGUAAUAGUAGCAGUAGUAGGGCAGCAAGAGCAAGAGCAGUUUUUCCAGCAUUGAGAAAACUCACUCUUAAAAAUAUUCCCAAACUAGAAAAAUGGUUAGACGUAUCAUUAUUGCCUGCUGCUACCACGAACAUGGAGUUUUUCCCUCGCCUAGAGGAGUUAUCAAUUUCAGAGUGCCCUCGGUUGAUAACCAUUCCGGGUAAUUUGUUAUCCAUCCAGAGGAUAAAUAUUUCAUCCAACUCUUGUGACUUCAUUAAUAAUAAACCGUUAUACCACCCCUUUCGGUAUCAUUUCUUCAAUCUCUCCUUGGAAACGGCCAAGACUCCCAAGGGGGGCAGCAGUAGACAAUGGGCGAAAGAACGACCCAUGUAUAGCCCCUCCUUGAACUUACUGGUAGAUGAGGAUUCGGAGAAUAUUGUCAUUUUGGUUGAAGAUUUGCUAGAAAAAACCAUUAAAUCCCUAAGAUGUCUGCAAAUCUGCCAAGUAUCUAAACUGCGUUAUUUUCCAACCCAGCUACUAAACCUAACGUUUCUGGAGGAGUUAGAGAUAGCACAGUGUUUCGGCCUAGAGUCUUUUUUACAAGACACGGAAGCAGCAGUAUUCAACCGGUUAAAGUAUCUUAAAGAGCUGCGCAUUGACCGUUGCGAUGAGUUGAGAUGUUUGCCAAAGGGGUUGCUAAAACCAACCCUUGAAACAUUAGAGCUGUAUGGUUGUUUUAGUUUAAGAAUGACACACCCAGAUGAAUUGCGCAGCCUCAAAUCCCUUCAGAAUCUGAAUAUCAAAUUCUGUCCAGGAUUGGCAAGUUCUUGGCGGGAGGGGCUGUUCUGCCUUGGAAGCCUACGAUAUUUGGGGAUAGCUAGAUUCUUAACAGAGCAUGAACAUUUCCCCUGGCCCUCCACAAGUGCUGAUGCCUCCACAAGUGAUGAUGCUGCAAACGUAGAGUUUGUCGAGCAGUUCCCGGCCCUCAUCUCCCUGGAGGGUCUAUAUUUAGGUUAUAGUGUAAUCAAGCAUCUGCCCGAUCAACUUCAGCACCUCACUGCCUUGAAAACGUUGCAAAUUGACACAUUCCAGGAUUUGGAAGCUCUUCCGCAGUGGUUGGGUAACCUUUCAUCUCUUCAAUUGUUGCGCCUUUGGAGUUGCCCUAAACUGAUGAGUCUGCCCUCACUGGAAGCAAUUCAACGCCUCACCAAUUUACUAAUAUUAGAUGUGCAUAACUGUCCCCUUUUAAAGAAACGAUGCGAAAAUGGUGAAGAAACGUACAAGAUUGCUCAUAUUCCAUUUAAGAGAUUUAUAUAGGCACCAGUGAACCCUCUGCGAUUACAUUUCAUGAAGAUAAAGCAUGACUAGUCCCUUUUCAAUCAUGUUCUGAUAUUACACAUCAAGACAUUUGGCUGUGGUGAUGUCUGCCUCAGAUUCUUGGAGGCGUUGUGCACUUUGCAAAAUCAGAGGAACUCAUGGCAAGAAAAAUUCUCAGAGAGUUCAGAAUAAUAAGGCUGGGAUGUGAACGGUUGCCGAUUGCAUCAAACUUUUUAAAGGACGCUCAAAGUGAAGCUAUUGCUUACAGACAUCAAUGCCUAAUCUCUGUUAGCGACACAAGCAAAUAAUCCAAAGUAGCCGAGUCGCUAACACUAUCUAUAAGUGUAUAUGAGUAAGUCAAGAGCUUUCUGUUCGAUGAACCAGUCAAUAAUGUCUGAAGUAGCAUUCUUCUUUUAUCACUUGGUUCAUUCUUGGCAAAUUGGUAGCACUUGACAGAUCAAAAGUCGGAUUCUCUGCAAUGAAAUUGGGAUCUCAUUACGAUGAUCGAUUCCUCUCUCCCAUGCUUUCCCAGAUCCAUCAGUUUUACGGCCAUUUUUUUAUCAAAGACAAUUUAUAACAUAGUGUCAAGCAGAAAGGAAAACAAGUUGUUGUGGAACUUAGUCAUGAAUUUUGUGGGCUAGGCAAAAGAAGCUAUUCCUAUCAUGCAUCAUAGGAGGCCAUUUAAAAGAUAGUCGCAAAAACGUAUAUUCGUCUUUAUUUGCUUGAACUUUCAAGUUUGCUUCAUUUGUCAAAAUCAUAAAGGCGCAUUAGUGCUCUAACAUAAUGUGUUCAUCUUCAAGACACAUAUGUUGGUGCUGUGUUGUUAGCAUGGGAAUUACUGUCCUCGCUGCCAAUCCGUAAGGCCAAUUUUUGUAAUAGUGAAAUCUACUUUUGUGGUUUUCCUUAAAUUCUCGAGCCUCCAUUACUAACAGCGUGAUUCUGAUGUUCGAGCAUUUAGCUUGUUGGAGGCAAGUGCUUACAUAAUUGCUCACUCGCAAAUUCAAAAGAAGACAAGCAUAGGAGAAGAGUUACAAUAUUCAGAUUAACGUGCAAUACAUGCUGAUGUACGACAGAUAUUCUGAUCUUGCUACUAGUAUAAGUAUUCACAUGUUCUAGGGAUAUAUCAAUGCAUUACUAAUUUGGGUGCUGCAAAAGGCCACGGGUAGUGUUAGGGAUGGUUCUGAUUUGAUGUUUAUUGUUAUUGAUGGGUUGGUAACUUGGUAUUGGUUCUUUUGUUUGUUUGGUUGGUUGCUGGCCAACUUUGUUCAUUUCCUUUUGGGGUCUAGUGUGGCAUAUGAUUGUCAAGGAUCGUUAGGGAGCCAACUCAGUUUGGGAUUCUUUCUUCUCGUCGUGAUGCUGCCAUGAUCGUGGACUCGUUAAUCUUUGUAAUUAUCAUGCAAUGCAAAGAAUAAUAUGUUAUUUUCUGUUCAAAAAAGUUUGUUUUUUGAACAUAGCACUAGUCAAGGAAGUACUUAACAAACUGCGGGACCAUGGGUAUCAUAGAAUAGAGUAAAACCCUAUUUGUGGUCAUUGAAAAAAUUCAUCAAUUCUAAAUGAAGGUAUAACUUCAUCGCGUGCACGUUCUGUGUCAUUAAUUUAACGGAAAAAUGCACAGUUCAUUAAUUAUGUGAUAUCUUAUUUCUUUGUGUUUUCAUGCGUCGCUUUGUCUAUUUGUGUGUCAUUCAUCCAUGAAGCUAGUAGAUUUCUACCUUUCCUUUUUGUUGGAGCAAACGUCUGAAAAUUGCAUACUUCAAAGCUGUUGAGCUUACUAUUGGUUUCUGAGUUUUUCGCCUUUGGGUUAUAUUCCUCUCUCUCUCUGCGUGUGUGUGCUCGCACGCGAGGGUGUGUGUGUGGUGAGAG
Rhododendron vialii is the source of this 5851-nucleotide RNA transcript. It is a transcript of the gene named putative disease resistance protein RGA4, with no coding region annotated. The transcript is spliced from 5 exons. Lineage: Eukaryota; Viridiplantae; Streptophyta; Magnoliopsida; Ericales; Ericaceae. The record is from RefSeq and is a predicted model, not a curated record.